RNAcentral lists this ribosomal RNA (406 nucleotides) under uncultured bacterium. RNAcentral describes it as "partial 16S ribosomal RNA". It matches the Rfam family "Bacterial small subunit ribosomal RNA", at positions 30 to 526 of the family's 1533-position model. The record is from RNAcentral.
AUUGAACGCUGGCGGCAGGCCUAACACAUGCAAGUCGAGCGAGCGGCGGACGGGUGAGUAAUGUAUGGGGAUCUGACUGAUGGCGGGGGAUAACUACUGGAAACGUUAGCUAAUACCGCAUACCAUCAGAUGAACCCAUAUGGGAUUAGCUAGUAGGUAGGGUAAAGGCUUACCUAGGCGACGAUCCCUAGCUGGUCUGAGAGGAUGAUCAGCCACACUGGGACUGAGACACGGCCCAGGAUCCUACGGGGGGCAGCAGUGGGGAAUAUUGCACAAUGGGCGCAAGCGUGAUGCAGCCAUGCCGCGUGUAUGAAGAAGGCCUUCGGGUUGUAAAGUACUUGCAGUCGGGGGACGUUAACGACAGAAGAAGCACCGGCUAACUCCGUGCCAGCAGCCACGGUAAUAC